Molecule: ribosomal RNA, 449 nt
Filed under: uncultured bacterium
Lineage: Bacteria
Description: partial 16S ribosomal RNA
Rfam family: Bacterial small subunit ribosomal RNA
Source: RNAcentral
AACGAACGCUGGCGGCAGGCUUAACACAUGCAAGUCGAACGAGAUCUUCGGAUCUAGUGGCAGACGGGUGAGGAACACGUGGGAACAUCCCUUUCAGUUCGGAAUAACGUUGGGAAACUAACGCUAAUACCGGAUACGUCCUUCGGGAGAAAGAUUUAUUGCUGAAAGAUUGGCCCGCGUCUGAUUAGCUAGUUGGUGAGGUAAUGGCUCACCAAGGCUACGAUCAGUAGCUGAUCUGAGAGGAUGAUCAGCCACAUUGGGACUGAGACACGGCCCAAACUCCUACGGGAGGCAGCAGUGGGGAAUAUUGGACAAUGGGCGCAAGCCUGAGCCAGCCAUGCCGCGUGAGUGAUGAAGGCCCUAGGGUUGUAAAGCUCUUUCAGUGGGGACGAUAAUGACGGUACCCACAGAAGAAGCCCCGGCUAACUUCGUGCCAGCCGCCGCAGUAA